CGAAUUGUAGUUUAGAGAAGUGUUUUCUGGGAUGGCUUUGGCAUAAGUCCUUUGGAAAGAGGCGUCGAAGAGGGUGAAAACCCCGUUUUUAGUUAAAUGACCAUUCCUUUGUGAUACACUUUCGAAGAGUCGCGUUGUUUGGGAAUGCAGCGCUAAAUGGGUGGUAAAUACCAUCUAAAGCUAAAUAUUGGCGAGAGACCGAUAGCGAACAAGUACCGUGAGGGAAAGAUGAAAAGAACUUUGAAAAGAGAGUUAAAUAGUACGUGAAAUUGUUAAAAGGGAAACGCUUGGCACCAGUGUUGUGGAUAGUAAUCAGCUAAUUUUUUUACGAAAAUUAGUGCACUUGCUAUUAGCAGGUCAACAUCAACUUGAUUUGAAGUAAAAAGAGUAGGAAAGUCCCUUUGUGGUCGAGCCUACUUUCUGCUUUGGAUUGGGUUGAGGAAAAAGUAAUUUUGAUGUUGACGAAAUGGUAUCAAACGACCCGUCUUGAAACACGGACCAAGGAGUCUAACAAAUAUGCGAGUAUAUGGGUG
RNAcentral lists this ribosomal RNA (533 nucleotides) under Nowakowskiella sp. JH FR. RNAcentral describes it as "eukaryotic LSU rRNA". It matches the Rfam family "Eukaryotic large subunit ribosomal RNA", at positions 139 to 700 of the family's 3401-position model. Lineage: Eukaryota; Fungi; Chytridiomycota; Chytridiomycetes; Cladochytriales; Nowakowskiellaceae. The record is from RNAcentral.